UAGGGAAUCUUCGGCAAUGGGGGCAACCCUGACCGAGCAACGCCGCGUGAGUGAAGAAGGUUUUCGGAUCGUAAAGCUCUGUUGUAAGUCAAGAACGAGUGUGAGAGUGGAAAGCUCACACUGUGACGGUAGCUUACCAGAAAGGGACGGCUAACUACGUGCCAGCAGCCGCGGUAAUACGUAGGUCCCGAGCGUUGUCCGGAUUUAUUGGGCGUAAAGCGAGCGCAGGCGGUUUGAUAAGUCUGAAGUUAAAGGCUGUGGCUCAACCAUAGUUCGCUUUGGAAACUGUCAAACUUGAGUGCAGAAGGGGAGAGUGGAAUUCCAUGUGUAGCGGUGAAAUGCGUAGAUAUAUGGAGGAACACCGGUGGCGAAAGCGGCUCUCUGGUCUGUAACUGACGCUGAGGCUCGAAAGCGUGGGGAGCGAACAGGAUUAGAUACCCUGGUAGUCCACGCCGUAAACGAUGAGUGCUAGGUGUUGGAUCCUUUCCGGGAUUCAGUGCCGCAGCUAACGCAUUAAGCACUCCGCCUGGGGAGUACGACCGCAAGGUUG
Molecule: ribosomal RNA, 550 nt
Filed under: uncultured bacterium
Lineage: Bacteria
Description: bacterial SSU rRNA
Rfam family: Bacterial small subunit ribosomal RNA
Source: RNAcentral